GACGAACGCUGGCGGCGUGCCUAAUACAUGCAAGUAGAACGCUGAAGGAGGAGCUUGCUUCUCUGGAUGAGUUGCGAACGGGUGAGUAACGCGUAGGUAACCUGCCUGGUAGCGGGGGAUAACUAUUGGAAACGAUAGCUAAUACCGCAUAAGAGUAGAUGUUGCAUGACAUUUGCUUAAAAGGUGCAAUUGCAUCACUACCGGAUGGACCUGCGUUGUAUUAGCUAGUUGGUGGGGUAACGGCUUACCAAGGCGACGAUACAUAGCCGACCUGAGAGGGUGAUCGGCCACACUGGGACUGAGACACGGCCCAGACUCCUACGGGAGGCAGCAGUAGGGAAUCUUCGGCAAUGGACGGAAGUCUGACCGAGCAACGCCGCGUGAGUGAAGAAGGUUGUCGGAUCGUAAAGCUCUGUUGUAAGAGAAGAACGAGUGUGAGAGUGGAAAGUUCACACUGUGACGGUAUCUUACCAGAAAGGGACGGCUAACUACGUG
This 495-nucleotide ribosomal RNA is filed under the name uncultured bacterium. Its description in RNAcentral is "partial 16S ribosomal RNA". It matches the Rfam family "Bacterial small subunit ribosomal RNA", at positions 28 to 507 of the family's 1533-position model. The record is from RNAcentral.